AGGGGAGCCCCGUUUCGAAAUAAUCAGGAGCGAUUUAUUCCGACGGAGUGACAGCUCUUUUGAAGGGAAAGCGAAAGGCGUUUUCUGUCUCUCUGAAAGCUUUUCUUCCAGAUUGUGUUCAGAUUAGGCUGGGGGGAUGAAUGGCGGCUUUAUCCAGACCAGGAGCUUUUCUGAAAUGCCAAAUUAAUUACCAAGGCCUGAAUCAAGGCAACGGGGACUGGAGGAAAGAGAAGGACCAAAACGAAGAAGAACGGGUUGGGCUGGACAGNGCGGGGGAACCGGAGGGGGGCGGUGGAUAGAAAAGAAGCGAAAUAUAAUAGCGUUUGGGCCCGUGUAAAAUUAACUCCUGGGAUCGUUUCGGCCCUAACUGACUGGAAGGCUGGCUGGUGGAGACCGAGGGGGAAAGAUUUCAGGCCUUUUGCUGACAUCAGGGAAGGUAAUCCAACAGCAGCCAAUGAAGCUUCCCUAAAGUGGGCAUAUUUUCCCAGGGUGGACCACAUUCUCAUCUUGAGUGAGAACAACCAGAUCAGCCCUUCAGUAUACAAAGAGAGACCUUGGGGAAGAUUAAGGCAUGCCAACAUAUGUAUCCCAUAA
RNAcentral lists this long non-coding RNA (594 nucleotides) under Salvator merianae (Argentine black and white tegu). RNAcentral describes it as "lncRNA (ENSSMRG00000022406.1)". The record is from RNAcentral. Lineage: Eukaryota; Metazoa; Chordata; Lepidosauria; Squamata; Teiidae.